This 420-nucleotide non-coding RNA is filed under the name Neotoma lepida (desert woodrat). Its description in RNAcentral is "Bacterial large subunit ribosomal RNA". It matches the Rfam family "Bacterial large subunit ribosomal RNA", at positions 2049 to 2644 of the family's 2925-position model. The record is from Rfam by way of RNAcentral. Lineage: Eukaryota; Metazoa; Chordata; Mammalia; Rodentia; Cricetidae.
CCACGUGAAGAGGCGGGGAUUACAUAAAGCUACCCUAUGGAGCUUUAAUUUACUAGCUUAAUUUUAUACAAAAUCACCUAUUGGUUUAACCCCUAAAAAUAUAAGCUAAUGAUUUUGGUUGGGGUGACCUCAGAGAAUAAAAAAACCUCCAAAUGAUUUUAACCUAGACAUACAGACAUACAAAUCUAAGUAACAAUAAUCUUAUUGACCCAAAACUUUUUCGAUCAAUGGACCAAGUUAUCCUAGGGAUAACAGCACAAUCCUAUUCAAGAGUCCAUAUNGACAAUUAGGGUUUACGACCUCGAUGUUGGAUCAGGACAUCUCAACGGUAUAGAAGCUAUUAAUGGUUCGUUUGUUCAAUGAUUAAAGUCCUACAUGAUCUGAGUUCACACCGGAGUAAUCCAGGUCGGUUUCUAUAUA